UCUUCUUCUUCACAGGGAAUAGGGGAGUGUUGCAGGGAGAUUCACAUUUGACCAGAGCACCUUUAGAUAAUAGACUUUCAACUUGUUUGUAGAUAGGAAGGGACUGGGCAGGCCUCAGAGGAUAUUGCGGUUUAUGGGGUGGAUUGACACCUUGGAGUAAUUUCACCAUGACAGGGGGGACUUGGAGACGUCCAAUGUCAUCUGGGCC
Molecule: non-coding RNA, 208 nt
Organism: Pelobates cultripes (western spadefoot toad)
Lineage: Eukaryota; Metazoa; Chordata; Amphibia; Anura; Pelobatidae
Source: the annotation of a GenBank genome assembly